This 1374-nucleotide ribosomal RNA is filed under the name Moraxellaceae bacterium 4-m12-3. RNAcentral's name for it is "bacterial SSU rRNA". It matches the Rfam family "Bacterial small subunit ribosomal RNA", at positions 66 to 1438 of the family's 1533-position model. The record is from RNAcentral. Lineage: Bacteria; Pseudomonadati; Pseudomonadota; Gammaproteobacteria; Moraxellales; Moraxellaceae.
ACGAUGAUUUCCCAGCUUGCUGGGAAUGAUUAGUGGCGGACGGGUGAGUAACAUUUAGGAAUCUGCCUAGUAGUGGGGGAUAGCUCGGGGAAACUCGAAUUAAUACCGCAUACGACCUACGGGUGAAAGGGGGCGCAAGCUCUUGCUAUUAGAUGAGCCUAAAUCAGAUUAGCUAGUUGGUGGGGUAAAGGCCCACCAAGGCGACGAUCUGUAACUGGUCUGAGAGGAUGAUCAGUCACACCGGAACUGAGACACGGUCCGGACUCCUACGGGAGGCAGCAGUGGGGAAUAUUGGACAAUGGGGGCAACCCUGAUCCAGCCAUGCCGCGUGUGUGAAGAAGGCCUUUUGGUUGUAAAGCACUUUAAGCAGGGAGGAGAGGCUAAUGGUUAAUACCCAUUAGAUUAGACGUUACCUGCAGAAUAAGCACCGGCUAACUCUGUGCCAGCAGCCGCGGUAAUACAGAGGGUGCGAGCGUUAAUCGGAAUUACUGGGCGUAAAGCGAGUGUAGGUGGCUCAUUAAGUCACAUGUGAAAUCCCCGGGCUUAACCUGGGAACUGCAUGUGAUACUGGUGGUGCUAGAAUAUGUGAGAGGGAAGUAGAAUUCCAGGUGUAGCGGUGAAAUGCGUAGAGAUCUGGAGGAAUACCGAUGGCGAAGGCAGCUUCCUGGCAUAAUAUUGACACUGAGAUUCGAAAGCGUGGGUAGCAAACAGGAUUAGAUACCCUGGUAGUCCACGCCGUAAACGAUGUCUACUAGCCGUUGGGGUCCUUGAGACUUUAGUGGCGCAGUUAACGCGAUAAGUAGACCGCCUGGGGAGUACGGCCGCAAGGUUAAAACUCAAAUGAAUUGACGGGGGCCCGCACAAGCGGUGGAGCAUGUGGUUUAAUUCGAUGCAACGCGAAGAACCUUACCUGGUCUUGACAUAGUGAGAAUCUUUCAGAGAUGCGGGAGUGCCUUCGGGAAUUCACAUACAGGUGCUGCAUGGCUGUCGUCAGCUCGUGUCGUGAGAUGUUGGGUUAAGUCCCGCAACGAGCGCAACCCUUUUCCUUAUUUGCCAGCGGGUUAAGCCGGGAACUUUAAGGAUACUGCCAGUGACAAACUGGAGGAAGGCGGGGACGACGUCAAGUCAUCAUGGCCCUUACGACCAGGGCUACACACGUGCUACAAUGGUAGGUACAGAGGGUUGCUACACAGCGAUGUGAUGCUAAUCUCAAAAAGCCUAUCGUAGUCCGGAUUGGAGUCUGCAACUCGACUCCAUGAAGUCGGAAUCGCUAGUAAUCGCGGAUCAGAAUGCCGCGGUGAAUACGUUCCCGGGCCUUGUACACACCGCCCGUCACACCAUGGGAGUCUAUUGCACCAGAAGUAGGUAGCCUAA